Carassius gibelio (silver crucian carp) is the source of this 4171-nucleotide long non-coding RNA. RefSeq lists it as uncharacterized. The record is from RefSeq and is a predicted model, not a curated record. The transcript is spliced from 3 exons. Lineage: Eukaryota; Metazoa; Chordata; Actinopteri; Cypriniformes; Cyprinidae.
CUGAAGGGGCACAAGUACCUAUGAGGACAUUUGCAUAUCUAAAAAAACAUGGCCGCCAUUGGCCAAACAAAUUUAAGCACCUAUUUGAAAGGGUUAACGGAUGUUGAUCGGAACGAAACUCGCUGGGUACGUUCGACUCAUGAACCUUAAGGUCUGUAAGAAUUUUGAAAGAAAUCGGCCACUAGUUGGCGCUAACGAGUUUUAUGGCUCUGUAAUCACGUGGUGUUUCACAUAUCAACACAAUAUGCAUAUCAUUUGAUAGAUCUCCUCGUAAUGCACAACUUUGCCUCAAGAACCAUUGCUGUCAAUCAAAUCGUUCAAUUGUUAUUCACAAAUAUGUUAAAAACCUACUUUUGCGAACUAGUCCUAGGUUUUUUGCCCGAUCGGAACCAAACCACUGCAGUAAUAUUCUGUGGACUCUCUAGAUCAAUAAUUAUUAAAAAAAUGUUGAAUUUUGUCCUUUGGUUAGCUGUAACGGGGUAAUUUAGAAAAAGGGGUGUGGCCAAACAUACCCCAAAGCCUAUAAAACCUAAAGGAAAACUCAAAACUUUAUGAAACUCAGUGAAAUCAUGUAACAGGUGACUCUUAACAAGCAUGCAAAGUUUCAUGGAGAUCAGACCAUAGGUGGCGCUAUAACAGUAGAAAAGGUCUCAAAACACAAGAUUUAUAUGGUAAAUGGCCCCAAAUUGUUUGAAAAUGCUCAUAUAUUCACUCAAAAACACUAAAUCUUCAUAUCAUAUGAUAGAUCUCCUCAUUCUGAACAACUUUGCCUCUGGGACCAAUGUUGUCAAUAAAGCUGUUAAUUAAAUAUUCAAGAUUAUUUUAAAAAGUUACUUUGGCAUACUUGUGAUACGGUUUAAGAUGAAAAUCAAUAAAACCACUGAAGUACAAUUCUGUAGACUCUGAAGGUCAAUAAUUAUCAAAAACAUGUUGAACAAUUGCAUUUGGACAACUAUAAACCAGUAAUUUUAUAAUAUGUUCUUUUCAUAGUGUACACAAAGGCCUAUUAAUACAAACAGAAAGCCCACACAUUAUCAAAACUGUGUAAAACAAUGCAUAAUUUCAUUCUAAACAAGCAUGCAAAAUUUAAGAGAGAUUGGGCAAAAAAAAAAAAAAAACACUAUAACAGUUAUGUUUAAAAACAGUGUUGCUUGAGUAAAUGCAAUUUAUAACCUCUAGAUGGCAGUGGAAGACCACUAAUGGGCUCAUUCAGUUAUGUUGAACAGUACUGUUGAAAGGAUUCAUGAAUUCAUCCCAAAACAUUAAAAAUGUAACUGUUAUAACAUUUUAAAUCUCAUUGAGUCAAUGUUUUCCAUUUUGUUCUUACAGAUAUAUCAGUUUUUACUAUUUUGCCACAUUGUGAUUACAGUUUCACCUGAAAAUGACAUCUAAACUCUUAAAAAGAGAAGACUUGCAAUAAGUUUAUUGUCACCUAUCACUUAUUUCAAAUACCUAUAUCUGCAACAAAAUGUUUGUGCAUGUAUAUGUGUGUCUUUCUGUGUGUGUGUGUGUGCAUAUGCUUAUAGAGUAUACAUAUAUUAGUCUAAUCAUUUACUUUCAGUGUGUGUGUCUGUCUGUUAGCCUGUUCUCCAUUUUGGAUGUGUUUAAAUGUCAUCCAUGCAUCCAGGUUGGCUCAGACCACCUCAGAGGCCUUAAUGUGCUUGAACCCCGGUAAAUGCUGCUUGCAGCUUUAAUUAUUAGGGGUUCAAGCACGCAGUGCUGAAACCCUAUUGUAUUUGUUAGGAUUUUUAUUAUUAUUAUUAUUAUUAUUAUUAUUAUUCUCCACUCAAACUGUUCGUGCAGCCCAAACCGUAAGGCCUAGAAAGCUGAAAUUUGGUCAGAAUGUAGUAGUCCGGCCUUCUUGUCAGAUACCGAGUCUCGAUCCAAUCGGCCUAACGGGGGCGCUACAGCGCAAAAAACUAAAAUUUGUGACAUUUUUGGCCGUAAAUCGUAAACCGUUAGCCGUAGACUCAAAAACAUGGCAUUGUUGCAAUCCUUGGGUUAGCCCGAACAAAAGUGCACGGCGCCUUUUUGGGGUCUACGACGCACCGUUUUCUCGCAAAAUCGAGCUAUAUCCGAAACCUACUUUUGCGAACUAGUCCUAGGAUUUUCAACCAAUCAGAACCAAACCACUUCAUAAAUAUUCCCUGGACACUCAAUAUCAAUAAUUAUCAAAAAAAAGUUGAAAUUUCAAUUCAUACGCGAAACAGUACACCAAAAAGCGUCUAUGCUAACGUUAGCCAAAUGCUAUUUUAACUAUAACUCUUGAACGGAAUGAGAUAUCUUCACCAAACUCGGUACACAUAUGUAUGAGCUCAAUCUUUGGUCAAAUCAAAAAAAUUGCGCAUCUCUGCCACUUGGGGGCGCUAUAAGAUAGAAAAAACACAUAAAUUGCUAUAACUAGGCAACCGUUGGCUCGAUCGACUUGAAAAUCGGUAUGUAGUGUCUUGGUCUGAAGGGGCACAAGUACCUAUGAGGACAUUUGCAUAUCUCAAAAAACAUGGCCGCCAUUGGCCAAACAAUUUUAAGCACCUAUUUGAAAGGGUUAACGGAUGUUGAUCGGAACGAAACUCGCUGGGUACGUUCAACUCAUGAACCUUAAGGUCUGUAAGAAUUUUGAAAGAAAUCGGCCACUAGUUGGCGCUAACGAGUUUUAUGGCUCUGUAAUCACGUGGUGUUUCACAUAUCAACACAAUAUGCAUAUCAUUUGAUAGAUCUCCUCAUAAUGCACAACUUUGCCUCAGGAACCAUUGCUGUCAAUCAAAUCAUUCAAUUGUUAUUCACAAAUAUGUUAAAAACCUACUUUUGCGAACUAGUCCUAGGUUUUUUGUCCGAUCGGAACCAAACCACUGCAGUAAUAUUCUGUGGACUCUCUAGAUCAAUAAUUAUUAAAAAAAUGUUGAAUUUUGUCCUUUGGUCAGCUGUAAAGGGGUAAUUUAGAAAAAGGGGUGUGGCCAAACAUACCCCAAAGCCUAUAAAACCUUAACGAAAACUCAAAACUUUAUGAAACUCGGUGAAAUCAUCUAACUUGUGACUCUUAACAAGCAUGCAAAGUUUCAUGGAGAUCAGACCAUAGGUGGCGCUAUAACAGUAGAAAAGGUCUCAAAACACAAGAUUUAUAUGGUAAAUGGCCUCAAAUUGUUUGUAAAUGCUCAUAUAUUCACUCAAAAACACUAAAUCUUUAUAUCAUUUGAUAAAUAUCCUCAUUCUGAACAACUUUGCCUCUGGCACCAAUGUUGUCAAUAAAGCUGUUAAUUAAACAUUCAAGAUUAUUUUAAAAAGGUACUUUGGCAAACUAAUGAUCGGGUAUAAGAUGAAAAUCAAUAAAACCACUGAAGUACAAUUCUCUAGACUCUGAAGGUCAAUAAUUAUCAAAAACAUGUUGAACAAUUGCAUUUAGACAACUAUAAACCAGUAAUUUUAUAUUAUGUUAUUUGCAUAGUGUACACAAAGGCCUAUUAAUACAAACAGAAAUCCCACAAAUGAUCAAAACUGUGUAAAAUAAUGCAUGAUUUCAUUCUAAACAAGCAUGCAAAAUUUAAGAGAGAUUGGGCAAAAAAAAAAAAAAAAUAACAACACUAUAACAGUUAUGUUUAGAAACACAGUGUUGUUUCAGUAAAUGCAAUUUAUAACCACUAGAUGGCAGCGGAAGACCACUAAUGGGCUCAUUCAGUUAAAAUGAACAGUACUGUAGAAAGGAUUCAUGAAUUCAUGCCAAAACAUUAAUAAAUUAACUGUUAUAACAUGUUACAUCUUAUUGAAUCAAUGUUUUCCAUUUUGUUCAUACAGACACAUCAUUUUUUACAAUUUUGCCACAUUGUGAUUACAGUGAAACCUGAAUGACAUCUAAACUCUUAAAAACUAGUUUAAUCAUUUAAUUUCAGUGUGUGUGUGUCUGUCUUUUGGAUGUAUUUAAAUGUCAUCCAUACAUCCUGGUUGGCCGAGACCACCCCAGAGGCACAAAGACCUAUUAAUACAAACAGAAAUCCCACAAAUUAUCAAAACUGUGUAAAGUAAUGCAUAAUUUCAUUCUAAACAAGCAUGCAACAUUUAAGAGAGAUAGGGCAAAAAACCCAACAACAACACUUUAACAGUUAUGUUUAAAAACACAGUGUUGUUUGAGUAAAUGCAAUUUAUAACCACUAGAUGGCAGCGGAAGACCACUAAUGGG